Molecule: ribosomal RNA, 497 nt
Filed under: uncultured bacterium
Lineage: Bacteria
Description: partial 16S ribosomal RNA
Rfam family: Bacterial small subunit ribosomal RNA
Source: RNAcentral
GACGAACGCUGGCGGCGUGCCUAAUACAUGCAAGUAGAACGCUGAAGCGAGGAGCUUGCUCUUCUUGGAUGAGUUGCGAACGGGUGAGUAACGCGUAGGUAACCUGCCUGGUAGCGGGGGAUAACUAUGGGAAACGAUAGCUAAUACCGCAUAAAAUGGAUUAUCGCAGGAUAGUCCAUUGAAAGUCGCAAAUGCAUCACUACCAGACGGACCUGCGUUGUAUUAGCUAGUUGGUGGGGUAACGGCGCAUCAAGGGGGCGAUACAUAGCCGACCUGAGGGGGUGGUCGGCCACCCUGGGAGUGUGACACGGCCCAGACUCCUACGGGAGGCAGCCGUAGGGCAUCUGCGGCAAUAGACGGAAGUCUGACCGAGCAACGCCGCGUCAGUGAAGAAGGUUUUCGGGUCGUAGAGCUCUGUUGUAAGGGAAGAACGAGUGUGAGCGUGGAAAGUUCACACUGUGACGGUAUCUGACCAGAAAGGGACGGCUAACUACGUG